This 871-nucleotide ribosomal RNA is filed under the name uncultured Thermoprotei archaeon. Its description in RNAcentral is "bacterial SSU rRNA". It matches the Rfam family "Archaeal small subunit ribosomal RNA", at positions 67 to 922 of the family's 1478-position model. The record is from RNAcentral. Lineage: Archaea; Thermoproteati; Thermoproteota; Thermoprotei.
UAUGGUGGAACGCGGCGCACAGCUCAGUAACACGUGACUAACCUACCCUUGAGACGCGGACAACCCCGGGAAACUGGGCCUAAUCCGCGAUAGGCGAAGAGGCCUGGAAUGGUCCUUCGCCCAAAGGGCCUUGGAACCAUGCUUCCAAGGUCGCUCAAGGAUGGGGUCGCGUCUGAUCAGGUAGUUGGUGAGGUAACGGCUCACCAAGCCUAUAACCAGUACGGGCCGUGAGAGCGGUCGCCCGGAGAUGGACACUGAGACAAGGGUCCACGCCCUACGGGGUGCAGCAAGCGCGAAACCUCCGCUAUGCGCGAAAGCGCGACGGGGCCAUCCCGAGUGCCAUCCGCUGAGGAUGGCUUUUCCCCAGUCUAAAAAGCUGGGGGAAUAAGGGGAGGGCAAGUCUGGUGUCAGCCGCCGCGGUAAUACCAGCUCCCCGAGUGGUCGAGGCGGUUAUUGAGCCUAAAGCAUCCGUAGCCGGCCGGGCAAGUUCCUCCUUAAAUCCAACGAUCCAAUCGUUGGGCCGGGGGGAAUACUGCUCGGCUAGGGGGCGGGAGAGGCCAGAGGUACUCCUAGGGUAGGGGUAAAAUCCUAUAAUCCUAGGAAGACCACCGGUGGCGAAGGCGUCUGGCUGGAACGCGCCCGACGGUGAGGGAUGAAAGCUGGGGGAGCGAACCGGAUUAGAUACCCGGGUAGUCCCAGCCGUAAACGAUGCGGGCUAGGUGUUGGAUCGGCUACGGGCCGAUCCAGUGCCGAAUGGAAGCAAGUAAGCCCGCCGCUUGGGGAGUACGGCCGCAAGGCUGAAACUUAAAGGAAUUGGCGGGGGAGCACCACAAGGGGUGUUAGCUGCGGUUCAAUUGGAUUCAACGCCGGA